Molecule: long non-coding RNA, 825 nt
Organism: Ictalurus punctatus (channel catfish)
Lineage: Eukaryota; Metazoa; Chordata; Actinopteri; Siluriformes; Ictaluridae
Source: Ensembl
ACUGUAAGCAGUCUGAUCAUCAAACCCCAGGAAACACUCGACUCUCUCUCUCUCUCUCUAACACACCCACACACACGCACGCAUACCCCCCACACCCACAUACACACACACUUCAGAUGUGUAGGACACUGUGUAUAGGCCUACAAGACAUUCCCCGGAAAAUGUGUCUUCUAGUUUAAACAAAACUCUCGAUUCUUUUAAGCAGCACUUUAAACAUUUUACAUCCUAAAGGGUUAGGUUUAGAAGGCAUGUAAUACGCGCGUUUCUUAUAAAACACCGUCUUUAAAACGUUUACCUCCUAAAGGGACCUAUUUAGAAGGGAUCUCUUGGGGAGCUCUUAAUUUUACUUCUCUAUGGAUGGCAAAAUGUGAAAGCAACAAGAGAGCGGAAAAAAAGGCUACAACAAAUCUGGUAGCAGACAUUCAGUUGGCUAUGGUGUAGAUUACACCAACUUGGGUGACCUCAAUGUUUAUGGGAAUAAACACACAUACCCCAUUAAGAAGCCCAUCUACGCGUCAACUGAUUUCAUAAAUGUAAAUAGAAAUAUCUUUAUCAUUGGACCUGCCAUAUUUUUUACAUGAGGAUAAUGAAUUUACAAAUUCAUGUGAUUUCAUUAUGUUAAAUAAUGGCUUGCUUUGAAUAAAAAAUAAAUAAAAAAAAGAUAAAUGCUUAUAUGGAAAUUUGGUCAGUUGGUAUGGAUGUAUGGAUGUAUUUAUGCAAUUACAUGCAAAUACAGUUGACUAGUAAUUGUAUUAAUAAUAGAAAUACCACUGUGUUUUCUUUUUUUUUUUUUUGGCUGUGACCAUUAAAGUGUUAAAUAAAAAG